RNAcentral lists this small RNA (78 nucleotides) under Flavobacterium sp. S87F.05.LMB.W.Kidney.N. RNAcentral describes it as "Flavo-1 RNA". It matches the Rfam family "Flavo-1 RNA". The record is from RNAcentral. Lineage: Bacteria; Pseudomonadati; Bacteroidota; Flavobacteriia; Flavobacteriales; Flavobacteriaceae.
UCCUAGCCCAGAUGGGAGCGGCAUCCUUUUUCUUGCUUCUUUAGCAAGAAAAAGAUAUAGCGGACAGCUGGAUUUAGC